CUUUACUAUUAAAUUAUCCGCCACCCCCCCCCCCCCAAGUCUCAAAUCUUGAAGAAUCUCAAACCAGGGACACCAGCCCCGGCGACGACGACCCUGGGCGACUACAAAGCGCAGGCAACCUCGAUUCCCCGAAUUGGUGGAGUGGCCGGCAUCGGUGUCCCCCUGGUUUCACUGGCCUGUUUGAAGGUGCAGAUCAUUCUCCGGGAAGUACAGCUGAAACCAGUCCUCCUCUGCCCUCUGGGGGCCUUCAUUUUCCCAGCCUACAUCUGCUUGUGACUCCAGAAAGACAGACUUCAGAUUGGCCAAGGUGGGGAUUGACUCCCAGGAGCUGUCCAACAACAGUGGCUAGACUUGGUUCUGGAGUCUCCUAGUUGCAAGAAACAAGACCAUUAGGCCAUGUCCUCAGAUGGGUUAUUCAGGGUUAUUUCAGGCCACUUUGGAAAUUCACCCAGGAUGUUUCAGUUGGUGCAGAUUUCAGAUACAUCAUUGCUUCAGUCUCUCAGUGGAACUAAAGAUGGACCACUGUAUUGCAGGUGUGCUGUGGUGAGCAUAGAGAGAUAAGGUAUCAGCUCCCUGUUUAACAAAUUGCACUACUAGCAAUGCAGCUGAAAGUCUUGAGUGAGAUUGUCCCUGAACAUCUCUGGGUGCUGUCUUCUCUGCCUCCCCCAGACUCUGCAUGUUCCUGCCUUCGUUCUUAGUACAUUCUAUUUAAUUAUAUAGUUUUUUUUUGAGAAUGAAAUGUAUUUAGCUUAUUUUAUUUUUAUUGAAGAACAAUUAAUUAAUAUAGUGUAUUAUCAGUUUCAGAGGUAGAAUUUAGUGAUUCAUCAGUUGCAUAUAACAUCCAAUGCUCAUUCCAUCAUGUGCCCUCCUCACUGCCCAUCACGUAGUUACCCCAUCUCCUACUCCACCUCCCCUUGAGCACCCCUCAGUUUGUUUCCUAUGAUUAAAAGUCUUUUAUGGUUUCUCUCCCUUUCUGAUUUCUUCUAAUUUUCCCUCUCUUCCCCUGUGUUCAUCUGUUUUGUUUCUUAAAUUCCACACAUGAAUUAAAUCUUAUGGUAUUUCUUUCUCUAAAUUAUUUUGCUUAGCAUAAUACCCUCUAGUUCCAUCCACGUCAUUGCAAACAGCAAGAUGAAUGGUUAAAGAUGUGGUAAAUAUAUAAAUGGAAUAUUACUCAGCCAUUUAUUAUAUGGUAAUAUACCUCUACCCUAUAGUUUCCUCUAUUACCUCCUUCAGAACAGGAUUGUUAUCUUUUUCAUUUUCGUGCUUUCAUUACACACAGUAGAUUCUUAAUAAAUGUUGAACACUGAAUAUGGGUCUUUUUCUUGGCAGCCACAUGAUUCUGUUUAUAAAUAUUAAACUGACAGCCCAAAUCUUCACAUCUUUUUUUUUUUUUUUUUUUUUUUUUUUUUAUUGGGGCUACUGAUAAGUCAUGGAUUUCUUACCUUUAACUGUUUACUUUUUCUGGUGUCAAAAGGAAAACUUUAUAAAAAAUUAAUUUUAGGGGCUCCUGGUUGGUUGGGCACCUGCCUUUGGCCCAGGUCAUGAUCCCAAGGUCCUAGGAUCUCUGAGCGCUGCAUGGGUCUCCCUGCUCAGCAGGGAGCCUGCUUCUUCUUCUCCCUCUGCCUGCCACUCCCCUGCUUGUGCACUCUCUCUGUCAAAUAAAGAAAUAAAAUCUUUUUUUUAUUAUUUUUUUAAUUUUUAUUUUUUAUUUUUUUAAGAAAUAAAAUCUUUAAAAAAGUUAAUUUUAUCUUAAAAAAUGUUAAUUUGGCCCUGUACUCAGUGGGUCUGGUAAUUGAGUGCAAGUCUGACUUCUAAUUUUUUAAAUGAUUUUAAAUCCAGGUAAUAUAUGUAUAAAGAAUUCGGUUCAAAGGGCACAAAAUGUGUAAAGGAAGUCUCUUUUCUGUUUGUCAUAGAGCCAGUCAUUUCUCUUCUCUGGAUGAAAUUGUUACCUAUUUUCUUGUGCAUUCCUUAGAAAUAGUUUGCAUAUACACACAAAUAUACAUUUUAAAAUAUAUGUACAUUAUUUUACAUUGGAUUUUUAUUUUUUGUCCAGUUUCAUGGAGAAAUUAUUCACAAAUGUAAGUGUAUAUAUUUAAAGUGUAUAAUGUGAUGACUUGAUAUACAUAUACAUUAUGAAAUGAUUACUAAUAUCAAGAUAAUUAACAUAUACAUUGUUUCCCAUAAUUAACUCUCCCUUUUGUU
Molecule: long non-coding RNA, 2202 nt
Filed under: Canis lupus familiaris (dog)
Lineage: Eukaryota; Metazoa; Chordata; Mammalia; Carnivora; Canidae
Description: lncRNA (ENSCAFG00845017236.1)
Source: RNAcentral